Petromyzon marinus (sea lamprey) is the source of this 72-nucleotide microRNA precursor. The record is from Ensembl. Lineage: Eukaryota; Metazoa; Chordata; Hyperoartia; Petromyzontiformes; Petromyzontidae.
UGCCCCCGCGUUAUUUCCCGGGGUACGCGCCGCGCUCUGUCGCCUCGUACCGUGAGUAAUAACGUGGGGUCC